UCUCUUCCAAGUGGCUGGGUCCAUUUGUUUCCCCUCAUGAAACACGAGUUCAGAGUCACUCUUGAUGGCUGCUGUUUCAUGAGCCAUGUUUCAGCAGCCAUAUUCUUCACUUGGUGGGCAGUGCUUGGCCACUUGCCUUCUGCGACCUUCCUCGUGUACGUACUUGGCAAUGAAGCCAUAGUUCUUCAUGAUACACAUCUCCCUGUGUGUGAGACCACCGGAGGGCUUGUUUUUUUUUCCUCCCGACUCUAUCUCUCAGAGUUGAUCUUGGUUUGCAGCUGCACAGCUGUUCAGCCUUUACUUGAAAGGCUCUUGCUUUUUAUUUUGGUUUUUGAAGUCAGCCCUCUCACUGUUGUAUAAGAAUUCAUUCUCCUUAUACCAGUCGGCAAGAUCUUUCUCUUCUUCAGCUCCAAGUGUGAGAGCUGCGGCUGAACUUCUUUGUUUCCUGUGAACCUGCUCCUUGAGUCUUGUUGCUGUAUGUUCUCCUCCCUUCAAACGAGUCCUGAAGGGGAAGAAAUCCGCUUUGGGAUUUUUUUUUCUACAGCAAAGGAAACGGCUCAAGGGCAAAAAAAGGAGAUAGUAAUGAAAGAAAGCCCGCAACUCACUGCCCCUAUAGAAAAGCAUUCAGAGGGGUGGCCAAAAGAGAGGUCAAUUUCGGGAGGAGAGGUGUCCCGAUAACCUCCUCUUGAAAGAGUUCAAGUCAUAAGCAGGAGGAAACACAGAUGAAGGAAGAUUGUUCCAGAGAUUACCAGUGUGAGGGAUGAAAGAGUGACGAUGCUGGUUAACUCGUGCGUAAGGGGUUUGGACAGUAAAGGGAUGAGCUUGAGUAGAAAGUCGAGUGUGGUGAGGGCGUGGGAGGGGGGAGAGGGAUGCAGUUAGCAAGUUCAGAAGAGCGGUCAGCCACAUAUUCCCCCCCCAGAGUCUCCCGUCCCAUCCCAACAACCCAUCCCUCCCUCCUCCUCUCAGUGCCAGCCACAUUCUCCCCUCCCAGAGUCUCCCGUCCCAUCCCAACAACCCAUCCCUCCCUCCUCCCCUCAGUGCCAGCCACAUUCUCCCCUCCCAGAGUCUCCCGUCCCAUCCCAACAACCCAUCCCUCCCUCCUUUCCUCUGCAGUCCACCUCCAGUCAGCCUGAUCAGCCCUGGGGAGCCUGACUGCUCCAUCAUCUUCAGUCACCCAGGAUGUGAAGAACAAACUACAGAGCAUGUGGUGUGUGCUGGGAUGCCUUGCAGGAGAUCACGCUGGGAUACGAAGCCGCCCCUCAAGAGAUGGAGUCCAUUCAGCUGUUCAAUUCUGCCGAGGGAAAAGAAUCAUUCAACUCUGAAGACUGCCAUGGAUUCUUAUGUAUUAGCUAGCGAGAUGUGAACUUUCUAUCUCGUGAAAAUAAAGUUCAGGGACGUA
Long non-coding RNA from Eriocheir sinensis (Chinese mitten crab), 1399 nucleotides. RefSeq lists it as uncharacterized. Lineage: Eukaryota; Metazoa; Arthropoda; Malacostraca; Decapoda; Varunidae. The record is from RefSeq and is a predicted model, not a curated record. The transcript has 2 exons.